This 433-nucleotide ribosomal RNA is filed under the name uncultured bacterium. RNAcentral's name for it is "partial 16S ribosomal RNA". It matches the Rfam family "Bacterial small subunit ribosomal RNA", at positions 29 to 507 of the family's 1533-position model. The record is from RNAcentral.
AGCGAACGCUGGCGGCAGGCUUAACACAUGCAAGUCGAGCGGGCACUUCGGUGUCAGCGGCAGACGGGUGAGUAACACGUGGGAACGUACCCUUCGGUUCGGAAUAACGCUGGGAAACUAGCGCUAAUACCGGAUACGCCCUUUUGGGGAAAGGUUUACUGCCGAAGGAUCGGCCCGCGUCUGAUUAGCUAGUUGGGGGGGUAAUGGCCUACCAAGGCGACGAUCAGUAGCUGGUCUGAGAGGAUGAUCAGCCACACUGGGACUGAGACACGGCCCAGACUCCUACGGGAAGCAGCAGUGGGGAAUAUUGGACAAUGGGCGCAAGCCUGAUCCAGCCAUGCCGCGUGAGUGAUGAAGGCCUUAGGGUUGUAAAGCUCUUUUGUCCGGGACGAUAAUGACGGUACCGGAAGAAUAAGCCCCGGCUAACUUCGUG